Acanthosepion pharaonis is the source of this 113-nucleotide non-coding RNA. The record is from the annotation of a GenBank genome assembly. Lineage: Eukaryota; Metazoa; Mollusca; Cephalopoda; Sepiida; Sepiidae.
UAUGGUCACAUCAUGUUGAAAUACUUGUUCCCGUAUGAUCACUGAAGUUAAGCAACAUUGAGUCUGGUCAGUACCUAGAUGGGUAACCCCUUUGGAAUACCAGGUGAUGUAAG